This 440-nucleotide ribosomal RNA is filed under the name uncultured bacterium. Its description in RNAcentral is "bacterial SSU rRNA". It matches the Rfam family "Bacterial small subunit ribosomal RNA", at positions 28 to 476 of the family's 1533-position model. The record is from RNAcentral.
GAUGAACGCUGGCGGCGUGCUUAACACAUGCAAGUCGAACGGGAUCCAUCGGGCUUUGCUUGGUGGUGAGAGUGGCGAACGGGUGAGUAAUGCGUGACCGACCUGCCCCAUGCUCCGGAAUAGCUCCUGGAAACGGGUGGUAAUGCCGGAUGUUCCACAUGAUCGCAUGUGAUUGUGGGAAAGAUUCUAUCGGCGUGGGAUGGGGUCGCGUCCUAUCAGCUUGUUGGUGAGGUAACGGCUCACCAAGGCUUCGACGGGUAGCCGGCCUGAGAGGGCGACCGGCCACAUUGGGACUGAGAUACGGCCCAGACUCCUACGGGAGGCAGCAGUGGGGAAUAUUGCACAAUGGGCGCAAGCCUGAUGCAGCGACGCCGCGUGCGGGAUGACGGCCUUCGGGUUGUAAACCGCUUUUGAUCGGGAGCAAGCCUUCGGGUGAGUGU